CUACGGGCCGCAGCAGUGAGGAAUAUUGCACAAUGGGCGAAAGCCUGAUGCAGCGACAUCGCGUGGAGGAUGAAGGUCUUCGGAUUGUAAACUCCUGUUAAAUGGGAAUAAAGAAUCGUUUUUAAUAGAAACGAGUGAUGACAGUACCAUUAAAGAAAGCACCGGCUAACUUCGUGCCAGCAGCCGCGGUAAUACGAGGGGUGCAAACGUUAUUCGGAAUCACUGGGCGUAAAGGGUGUGUAGACGGUUUAAUAAGUCGAUUAUAAAAUCUCCUGGCUUAACUAGGAGUCCGUAAUCGAAACUAUUAAACUAGAGGAUGGAAGAGAGAAGUGGAAUUCUCGGAGUAGCGGUAAAAUGCGUAGAUCUCGAGAGGAACACCGAUGGCGAAAGCAGCUUCUUGGUCCAUAUCUGACGUUGAAACACGAAAGCGUGGGGAGCAAACAGGAUUAGAUACCCUGGUAGUC
This 464-nucleotide ribosomal RNA is filed under the name uncultured bacterium. RNAcentral describes it as "partial 16S ribosomal RNA". It matches the Rfam family "Bacterial small subunit ribosomal RNA", at positions 339 to 795 of the family's 1533-position model. The record is from RNAcentral.